Molecule: non-coding RNA, 45 nt
Filed under: Schistosoma margrebowiei
Lineage: Eukaryota; Metazoa; Platyhelminthes; Trematoda; Strigeidida; Schistosomatidae
Source: RNAcentral
AUGCAGAUGAUGAGUUCAAAAUAGGACUAAACGCUCGUCUUGAAU